RNAcentral lists this ribosomal RNA (924 nucleotides) under uncultured marine bacterium. RNAcentral's name for it is "bacterial SSU rRNA". It matches the Rfam family "Bacterial small subunit ribosomal RNA", at positions 80 to 999 of the family's 1533-position model. The record is from RNAcentral.
UUCGGUGUGAGUAAAGCGGCGGACGGGUGAGUAACGCGUAGGAAUCUACCUAGUAGUGGGGGACAACUCGGGGAAACUCGAGCUAAUACCGCAUACGCCCUACGGGGGAAAGCGGGGGACCUUCGGGCCUCGUGCUAUUAGAUGAGCCUGCGUUGGAUUAGCUAGUUGGUGGGGUAAUGGCCUACCAAGGCGACGAUCCAUAGCUGGUCUGAGAGGAUGAUCAGCCACACCGGGACUGAGACACGGCCCGGACUCCUACGGGAGGCAGCAGUGGGGAAUAUUGCGCAAUGGGCGAAAGCCUGACGCAGCCAUGCCGCGUGUGUGAAGAAGGCCUUCGGGUUGUAAAGCACUUUCAAUUGGGAGGAAAGGCUCACGACUAAUACUCGUGAGCUGUGACGUUACCUUUAGAAGAAGCACCGGCUAACUCCGUGCCAGCAGCCGCGGUAAUACGGAGGGUGCGAGCGUUAAUCGGAAUUACUGGGCGUAAAGCGCGCGUAGGUGGUCUGUUAAGUCGGAUGUGAAAGCCCCGGGCUCAACCUGGGAACUGCAUCCGAUACUGGCAGACUAGAGUGCGGGAGAGGGAGGUAGAAUUCCACGUGUAGCGGUGAAACGCGUAGAUAUGUGGAGGAAUACCAGUGGCGAAGGCGGCCUCCUGGCUCGACACUGACACUGAGGUGCGAAAGCGUGGGUAGCAAACAGGAUUAGAUACCCUGGUAGUCCACGCCGUAAACGAUGUCUACUAGCUGUAGGGGUACUUGAGACCUUUGUAGCGCAGCUAACGCACUAAGUAGACCGCCUGGGGAGUACGGCCGCAAGGUUAAAACUCAAAUGAAUUGACGGGGGCCCGCACAAGCAGUGGAGCAUGUGGGUUUAAUUCGAUGCAACGCGAAGAACCUUACCAGGCCUUGACAUCCUCGGAACUUU